Long non-coding RNA from Zea mays, 1296 nucleotides. RefSeq lists it as uncharacterized. The record is from RefSeq and is a predicted model, not a curated record. NCBI's taxonomy places the organism in Eukaryota, Viridiplantae, Streptophyta, Magnoliopsida, Poales, Poaceae. The transcript is spliced from 2 exons.
UCAUUUCCACCCCUACUGUCGUCUUCAUCCUCGAUUCGGUCGACGGUCCCAAAUCCAAGUCGGCGAUGGUGAAUGAAGCAUCCUCCUUUUUCUGUUCUGUUUGAUUUCUCUGUUUUCCCCAGAUUUGUUCAUAGAAUAACCCUUGGGUCAGGGGAUCUUAGUCUAUCGUUCCUUUUUUUGUUGCAAUGGGUUAGGAGUGUUUUAAUGAUUAAUUUGUCAUUUACUAAACAAACUUCAGAUACGUAGCUUUUGGUCCCAUGCCGGGCACCGUGAAGGAAUUCCCUUUUUGUGCUAAUAAAACUAGAGUAUAUCCUCUCAUUUCUGCGUCAAUUUGAGGAGUACGUACAUAUUAUUAUCAUUGAUUCUUUCAUUGACAUAGAAUAAGCCACAUUAUGUCCCUUUUUCUACAUUGAAUGUUCAUCUGUGCUCAAGGCCUUGAUGCCUUCCAUCUGCAUGAGCAGAAUGAAGAAAUUUUGGCCAAAAUGUGCUUGCAUGCAUAUGCUCUAGGAGGUUUAUAAUCAAGGAUAAUUUUCUGGAACCGUGAAAAGGAGCUCAGUCCAUUGAUUAAGGUUUCAAGCAGAUUUAAGGAAUUUUCCUCUAACAUAAGUUAUCUUUGUUAGGCAUCUUGAUAAUUUUGUCAGAUGGCAAGAGGACCUCUAGAAUACAAGAUGGUCCGUAUUUUCAUGUAUAAGGAUUAAGGAAUGAUGAAAAUAUCAUCUGUUUGAAAUGUACAGUUGUUACACCAAUCCUUAUGUGGUAUCAUGGCCACUAAACAUCAUGAAGCAAGCCACUACGGGUACACACGAGCUGAACUGAGCAACAACUUGAGCAUCUUCCCUCCCUAGCCAUUGCAUAUCACACUCACACACUGUCAGCAUGCAUCAUGAUUUAUGAGAUUCAGUGGUCCUUUAUUCCAACAGUUUCCCCCUUGUCUUCUAUAUUUAUUUGAUACCAACUAAGUUGGUUUAGGUGUCACAAUAUUUGCUUAUUUCCAUUUUUUGUUUCAUGCAGCAAGGGACACUCAAAUUCUGAUCUUGAAGCAGUUCUUAGAUGAGAAGGCGAAGAAUAAGUAGAGAAAAUGAAUCAUUAGCAGAAUUAUGAUGGUCUAACUUGUUCAAAACUGCCAAAGUUUAGCUCCUAUGUACACCAAACCAGAAAUCCCUAUAGUUCUCACAUGUGUUACAUUGACCAAGUUAGUAUAAAAACACCAAUAUUUGUGGUAGUUCAUGCCUGUGUUUGUGGUAGUUUUUGUCGUAUGUGUUGUUUAUGUUAUCAGAGAACUCUGUCGCUCUAUAA